Molecule: long non-coding RNA, 2966 nt
Organism: Haliotis rubra (blacklip abalone)
Lineage: Eukaryota; Metazoa; Mollusca; Gastropoda; Lepetellida; Haliotidae
Exons: 2
Source: RefSeq, a predicted model, not a curated record
CGUGACAGACGCAGUAAACGUAGUCGCCACAGCAGCAGAAGCAGAAGUCGUAGCAGGGACAAGAAGAGGAGAGCAUCACAGAGUCGUUCUCGAAGCAGGUCUGAAAAAAAAUCGGUCAGCAAGUCUAAAAGUCGCUCUAAAUCCCGAAGUCGUUCAAAAAGUAAAUCGGUGGAACAAACAAAUGGUGAGCAAGAUGAUCGGGGUGAGUCUGAUGCCUCUAGAGCCUCAUCCCCUGCAAGAAGCGAAAAAGAGAGGAGUGGUUCUCCAAGUCCUGCUGAUGAUUGAGUAUCCCCAAGUCCAUGCCCUGCAUUGUCCCAACCCUUCCGCUGUGAGGGGAACCGACAUCCUUGAAGGAAGUAGAGAUUUUCUACAAGUCAUGACAGUCAGCAUGAGUUAUUUGUAUUUCCUUUGACAUGAUGCCAUCCAUUUCCAAACCUUUCUAUUUGUUUUACCAUACAAUGUAUUUUUGCAUCAAAGAUAACUGAGAACUAUCAUGUUUUAUUUCUUUACCUUAGAUGUACUAGAAUUUGUGGAAACAUUUAUCACCAGAAAACAGCAUUAAUUCCAAGAAAACAGGAUUUUAAUAAGGUGCUGUUUGAAUUAAUGUUGUUUUCAUGUUGUGGUGCUUGUGGAAUUCACAAAGGUCGUUUUUGACAGUGAAGGCACACAGUGGUUAGUUGUAAGCCCAGGGCAGAUAAGAUCUAGUUUGCAUGUUGAACAUGAUAGAAUGAGUAGACAAUAAUUCGUUUUAUCCUAUUUAUGAUUGUGUAUAGCGUAAUAAGAGAGCCAUUGAUCUGUGGGGUUGUUUUGUUGUGAGGGUGUUCUUUUGGAGGGGUGGGGGGUGUUGGCUACUUUGAUAUCAGGUGUAAUUAGUCCUUCUAUUGAACAAACUAAUAUCAACACUUCACUGUGAACAUCUCUGAAAAAUGUGGAUUGUUGAAGAAGGAACAAACCAAUCUAUCUGUAUCCACCCAUGAUGGCAGUUUAGCGCCAACAUAGAAAAUAAUAUUCUUGUUAAAACAUUUGGCAAUGAAUUCCCCCUACGUAUCUUAAGUAAGAGGUUUCACCUUGUUGAAGAAUCUGAAAACAUCCUAGGAUUUCCAAGUUAGUGCCCCUCACACUGGUUCCAGCUUGAUAUGUUCAGAUAUCAAGUUUGUCAAGUUUGUUUUGUCUGCGUCACAUCUGCUCAUCAGUUUCAACAAAGUGUUCAGCAUCUGUACCGGGUGCCUUUCUGGCUCCGUAGAGACAUACACUCAGUGAAACUCUGUUCAAGGUAGCAUUAUAUCAAUCUCCAUGGUGUCCUAUUACACAGACUGAUGCCUGUGAUGUCAAUCACAGGAUUGUCUGGUCCAGAUUCUCUUAUGUACAGACGGCCAUCAUAUGGCAAGAAUAUUGCUGAGGACAGCGUAAACAACAAAUUAAAUCUCCGGGAGACAAUUCUAAGAUACAUCGUGAUUGGUAAUAACUGUCAUCACUGUCGUUUUGGGUUUUCUCAACAUGUACUUCAUUUGAGCUUCAUAGUGGCAUUUGGCACAUGAUGAACUUUGACUGGUUGUGGAGAUUUACAUGUUGCGUGUUAUGUACAUUUGGUCACAUGAUGCAUCACAGCAUUGUAUGUUUGAAUAUUAUUACACAGGACUGUGUUACAACAUUGUGUCACGAUAGAUCACCUUGUAUUAACCGUUAAUCAUGUCUCGUGUUAUUGCAUUGAAUAAUGUCUUGAAACAUUUUUAGCAUCCUCUAUAUCUCCCAAAUCAUAUAUCUUUUAUUUCCGUAAACCUACACUAACUCUGAAUCCACUCUGUGGUUCUUAUGAGGACAAAUUACUACCACUUGAUGUCCUUUGGCCAUUUUUUACCUCUAACAUACCCAACAGAAUGUGACUUACAAGCCAGCCUCAAUGUUGGGUUGACAAUAUUAACAUGGAGGCCAGUCCCUUUGAUUUUGAAGUUCUUGAGAAAUUCAGUAUUGAAAAACUGAAUCAAUUGAUGGAAAGGAUGUCUUACUGUCAAAUGAUACUAGUUGGUGGCUUUGGUUUCUAGGUGAUGAGUUACCUCCCUUUCUCUGUUCUUAAUGUCAAGGUUAAAUUGGUUGAUAAAAUGGCAAUGAAAACCGAGGGUGGGUAACAAGGACCAUGGGAAUGGCUCAAGAGGUUUAGUGUAGGAUUACUGAAAGCCCUUGGUGAUAAAGAGGAUGCAUUAUCAGAUGUUCUGUGCAUUCAGUCAUGUUUAAGUCAACAUGUCCGAUGCCUUGGAUAAUGUGUUGUGACAAAAUGUCAUGCUUUACGUCAUGUUGUGACAUGACACUUUUGUGUGUAAUGUAACGCUACUUCCAUGGUUUUGACAUAAAUUACGAUCUUAGAAAAUGUCAUGCAUUGUGUCAUGAUACUCCAAACCUCUUCCAGUGUCAUGACGUUAAUCCAAUGUGCUAAAGUUGGCGUACUUGUAUAUUUAACAUUGUCUGUUAACAUGUGUGCUUAUUGGUAAUAUGUCUGAGUUCUAGACAUGCAGGUCGCUUAAUUAAACUAAUUGUUUUGUCAAGUUGAACACGUCAAACCAGGAAGAAGGCAUUGAUUUAGGGCCGGGAAAUGUCAAAUGAUUUGUCUCACUUCAAUCUUGCUGUAGAUGUUCACAAGUUGUACCGUGUGUUUUCAUUUGUAUCACUAACUCUGGAUCUCCACAGUUUUCUGUUUGUAGUCUGGCAGUGAUGGGUGACCCUUUUCCUCCAUUGUCAAAUGUGGUAGAUGACCCAAUAAUUUGCUAGAAGUAACAGGUUCAUUUUCUUUGUUUUGAUACUUUUUAAGACAAAUAAAGGUUGCUAACAUUCUGAAAUAAUUAUUAUCACAAAAUGCCAGUUAAUUUUGAAGUCAAAAGAAGGUGCUUAUUUCACGUAACUGAUAUUUUAUCAUCAAUGCUUGUCAGUAAGUUUUAUUAUGAGAUUGUUGUGAAUAAAAGCCAACAAAAGAA